Molecule: non-coding RNA, 4044 nt
Organism: Rattus norvegicus (Norway rat)
Lineage: Eukaryota; Metazoa; Chordata; Mammalia; Rodentia; Muridae
Source: RefSeq, a predicted model, not a curated record
GGAAUUGGUAGGAACCGCAGCUGGAUCCGAAAUCCAAGCUCCGGCAAAGCGGUACUGAGGGGCUACUGUGAACAGCUGGGGGCGCUCGCUUCCCAGUUGGGGCUGAGUUUGGAGGAGAGGAAGGGAAACAGAUUAAGGAGUCAGUGAGGGUGGUGGGAAGGUCCGAGUUGCAAAGAAUGCAUCUGAAGUUGGAGGGUGCACAGGGUUCUUUUUUAAAAGCUGCGCUCGAGGUAAGAGGGGUAACCAUGAUGGGACAGUGCACGCUUGCUCUUCACUAACAGUCUGGGUAGAGUUGGGAGCUCUUGGCCUCCGGCCGCUAGUUCCGUACAGGAACUACAGGCUUUGAGGAUGCUAGUUGUUAAAGAGUGAUCGCUGCAGCUGUUGGUCAUCACUUAACUUCCUUCUUUUGGUGAGCCUGGGGGAAAUAGAAUCAGAAACUGGGAGAAGGAGCCCUGAGUGAAAUCGGUCAAGGGCGAGAAGUGUGAGGUCCAUCCUCACACUCAAAGGUCAAAGGCUGCUCCCCUAGUGUGAGAAUUUUGAGCAAGAUUUCCUUGCCGUUGUCAGGGGUGAAACUAGCUUGUCUUUGCAGCCUUGUGAGACUUUAUGCUCUAAGGGUAGUUCUGUAGCCAUUCAACUUUCCUCCUUGCCUGAAAUGGCCUUUGUGCUGGGGUGGAGAGAGGUUAUUCCUGGAGCACUUGUCCCCUUAGUAUAACCUUUGCUUGCCUGCACUCUGCACUCCUCCCAGCUGUCAUAGCCAACCAGGAGCUGGCUGCAGGCUGAGGGAGGGCUCCCCUGUGGGAGCGAAGUGUGCAGUGCGCUCCAGCCCCUGCCAGAUCUGCUGCCAGGGUCUUGGCGUCCAGCUCAGGAGCGCUCUGCAGUGACUGCUCCCGCAGCCAGCAAUUUUGCCCUGGUGAGUGGCAGUGAAUUUUAACUGCAAGCAUCUUCCUUCCUGUAUCUAGACACCAUUUAAUCGCCGAUGUGCUCAUACACAUUAAAAUCCUUUCAACGGAGUCUAGGAGGAAGAUUAAUUGAAAGAGAUUAAAUUAUUCUCAGUUUCAAAAAAAAUUUUUUUUAAAUAUCCAACUUUCUCAAGUUUCGGGAGUGGGUUCGAUUCAGCAGCUCCAACCCCCAAUUCACCAAAGGACGUUUACUAAACAGAAGCAAGGGUAGGAACCAUGGCUACUGUGUUAGGUUUAAUAAAUUCUAAAACUCACACAUUUAACCAUUGGAGAUCUAGCUAAUCAGGUAAGGUGAGGAGUAUCCUCAAUAACCACAGGUUGGCGGCUGCAAACAGACAGCAUAAUUAAAGCAUAAAGACGCAACACCCUCCUAAUGAACGCAGCCAACAGCGCAGAGGGACAUAGGGCCAUCAGCCUCCAGGUUCUUCUGGAACUGACCUAUUUUUGAAGGUGUAAUUUUGAAAGCAUGGUGACACCAUGAAAGUCUUACAUAACCAGAUCCUAGCUAUGUGAGUUUCGAAAGCAUAAUUUCUCAGUAGGAGUCACUGUUCUCUGGAAAUGCUAAUUCGGAUUAAUAGUGUGGGAAUAAGCAAGCCAUUGACAAAGUAGUGAUUUGAAAACAAAAUUGAGAAGUGACAGCUGUGAACCUUCCAAGCUGGGCCAUAAUGUUGUUUGCAUGAAUUUAAUGCAGGAAGUUAGUGAUGCCCUGUCAGCUACUGUCACAGUCUGGCUGACAUGUCCUCAGCAAAUUUUGGCCACCUGACAUGACAGACACAAGCAGUUCCUUCUCUUAUUUUGCAUUGCCUUUUGUGCACACCUUGAGGUCAGUCAUGUGCAUAUGCUGAUAUGAUUGGUUGUUUGCAUGUCUGCCCUCCUUCCAAGCCUAUAAUCCCUUCCCCAGAGGGCACUGGUUUGCUGUCCUUAGGAUCCAGCAUAAGAGCUAGUGAAGCUUCCCUGUUUUUAAAGAGUAUAAAAUGACCACAUUGAAGAAUCUAGCUUUCAAACAGGAAGAUGAGUGGAGCAAAACCAAAAGCCAGGAAGGAGCCCAAGCACAGAUCAUCAGUCAGCCCCCCCCCCAACCCCACCCCAGACACAGCAAGAGGACUGGCAAGAACUAGAGAGGCUCCCAAUAAAUAGUGCUGGGGGAACUGGAUCCACAAUCAAAAAAAGGAAGUCUAACCCUCAAUACCAUAUAAAGUUGCCUGAGAGUGGACAGAAGACUUAAGAUGAGUCCUGAAGUCCCAAGAAAGGGACAGGGCAUAGGGCUCCUUGACAUUGUCUAUGAUAUAAUAGUGAAAGUUUGAAUUUCGGGGAAUGACCUCAAACUUCUAUACAACCAAAGAAGUAUCAAUGGAAUGGAAGGGCAGCAUGGACUGGGGGGAAUGUUUCUGAACCAUGCAUAUUGAAUAUGAGUUACCAUCCAAGCUAUGAAGGGCCUUUAUAACUCAGUAGCAGGUAAGCAAAUGACCCAAUUUAAGAAAUGGGCGAAGGAUCUAAACACACAUUUCCCCAGGGAAAACAUGAUUUUUAAAAGGUCAGAAUGCUUUCCUCUCUUCCAGAGGACCUGAGUAAGGUUCUUAGCACCCACAUCAGGCUGCUCACAGCCACAUGUAAGUCUAGCUGCAAGGGAUCCAGCACCAUCUUCUGUUACCCAUAGGUACCUGCCCACAUGGGACAUACUUAUGCAUCACCACCAGUGCCCCCCCCCACAUAAAUACAACUUAACAAUAAGUCUAAAAAAACAAGUCCAGACUGUAUGAGUCAAAAUGCUCAACAUCAUUAAUUAUCAAAUGAAAUGCAAAUUAAUAUUACUAUAAAAUACACCUUAUAUUUGAAUGAUAGCAUCAAAAUGAUAGAAUGUAAUUCAGCCUUAAAAAGGAAGUCCUGUUAUUUUCCACACCAUGGCUGGACUAUCUAAAGUACAUUACAAACAUUUUUCAUUAUGUAGAGUGCAGCACAUUCAUUCAGUAGGGUAUAGCUAUUGCUGAAGAAAUGUCAGCUCAUCUUACUCUGAACUUCUCUGCGAUCAGGAGCCACAGUCCAAAUCUAUCAGGUCAGAGUCCAGUGUCCUGCGACUGUGCUCCCAGCACAGACUAUGUUAUUUAAUCAGGUAAUUCAAGUACCAAACACAUUAUAGGAACCAGAUAGAGACUAAACUCUCUACCCCAGUACCAACACAUCGUCAUGCAACUAUACUUACAAAGACACAAGAACCCUUAGGGAGUCAGAGCCAGAGGAUCCUGGGUAGGAAAUAGGGCUUUAACACACUGUCUUUCCAUACCAUGUACCACAGACAUUAAUAUUCUUAUACCAAAUAUAUGCUGGCAAAAUUAUGGUGAAUCUUGGUUCUAUCUUUCUAGAAGCUAUCUCCUGGGAAAAAUAAGCUCCCUUGGUCUUUGAUGCAGCUUUUCGCCUUUCACCAAUAACAAGACAGGACAGCGAAAGACUGAAAGGACGAAGUUAACAGUCUACUGCUGAUGGGAGUCAGGGCAGGAAUUCAAGCUGGGGAAGAACCUGGAGCCUCCUAUGUGCUCCAACCCUGUCCCCACUCCAGUGGCAGUGUUAAACAAUCUCAAGUGACUGCUGUUAGCUAACACCCUCGAGACAAGCUGAACACGCGGAAGAGACUCUGAGGUGCAGACCUUCCAGUGAAGCCAUAGGCUCAAUGGAUGUGAAGUGGGUCCUGUGACUAAUACCACACUGGUCCUUGAGCUACUGCACGAUAACCAGAAGAAACCUAAGCUUCAGCUCUCUGCUGGCUCUCCCUACGCACCACUGACGUCCAGAUCCUUCUCUCCAUCAACUGCAUCCUGCCAUUUGAAAAGAACUUUCUUCUGCUUUGCUGCGGACCCAACCUGGAUUUUCAUGGACGCUAAGCAAACACCCUACCACCGUGUUAACUUCCUACCCCACCCCAUGAUCCUGCCCUUUAAAAGGAAGAGCUAUCAAAUGGAUAAGUAUAUGAUAAAAGUUUUAUCAAGCUAUUUAGUUAUUUGCCUCUUACUUCUUAUCAGACAAAUGCCAGUUCAGCAAUUGAAUGACAAUUGUGACUUCUGUGACAUGUUAAUAAAGCUCAGAACCUCCA